GGCGGCUUCGGCUGCCGUUUACAGAUGACCCGCGGCGCAUUAGCUAGUUGGUGAGGUAARGGCUCACCAAGGCGACGAUGCGUAGCCGACCUGAGAGGGUGAUCGGCCACACUGGGACUGAGACACGGCCCAGACUCUACGGGAGGCAGCAGUAGGGAAUCUUCCGCAAUGGACGAAAGUCUGACGGAGCAACGCCGCGUGAGUGAUGAAGGUUUUCGGAUCGUAAAGCUCUGUUGUUAGGGAAGAACAAGUACCGUUCGAAUAGGGCGGUACCUUGACGGUACCUAACCAGAAAGCCACGGCUAACUACGUGCCAGCAGCCGCGGUAAUACGUAGGUGGCAAGCGUUGUCCGGAAUUAUUGGGCGUAAAGCGCGCGCAGGCGGURUCUUAAGUCUGAUGUGAAAGCCCCCGGCUCAACCGGGGAGGGUCAUUGGAAACUGGGGAACUUGAGUGCAGAAGAGGAGAGUGGAAUUCCACGUGUAGCGGUGAAAUGCGUAGAGAUGUGGAGGAACACCAGUGGCGAAGGCGACUCUCUGGUCUGUNACUGACGCUGAGGCGNGAAAGCGUGGGGAGCGAACAGGAUUAGAUANCCUGGUAGUCCACGCSGUAAACGAUGAGUGCUAAGUGUUAGAGGGUUUCC
Molecule: ribosomal RNA, 641 nt
Filed under: Bacillus sp. Z0D
Lineage: Bacteria; Bacillati; Bacillota; Bacilli; Caryophanales; Bacillaceae
Description: bacterial SSU rRNA
Rfam family: Bacterial small subunit ribosomal RNA
Source: RNAcentral